Molecule: ribosomal RNA, 253 nt
Filed under: uncultured bacterium
Lineage: Bacteria
Description: partial 16S ribosomal RNA
Rfam family: Bacterial small subunit ribosomal RNA
Source: RNAcentral
UACGUAGGAGGCGAGCGUUGUCCGGAUUUAUUGGGCGUAAAGAGCUCGUAGGCGGUCUGUCGCGUCUGCUGUGAAAACUCGGGGCUUAACCCCGGGCCUGCAGUGGGUACGGGCAGACUGGAGUACUGCAGGGGAGACUGGAAUUCCUGGUGUAGCGGUGGAAUGCGCAGAUAUCAGGAGGAACACCGGUGGCGAAGGCGGGUCUCUGGGCAGUAACUGACGCUGAGGAGCGAAAGCGUGGGGAGCGAACAGG